Long non-coding RNA from Hemicordylus capensis (graceful crag lizard), 1528 nucleotides. RefSeq lists it as uncharacterized. The transcript has 3 exons. The record is from RefSeq and is a predicted model, not a curated record. Lineage: Eukaryota; Metazoa; Chordata; Lepidosauria; Squamata; Cordylidae.
UAAGUGUACCCGGUCCCCGUUGCCAUGAAAAGUUGCACCAGCUGCUAUCUGCAGAAGGAGCUGCUUCUAGAGGGACGGAACUAGAUAAGGCCUUUGCUACUUUGACAAGCUUAUCCUCAAUAGGAGUCAGCAGAGCAUUGCAGCAUGGUUUUUCGAAAGCCUCCGCCCCCACGCGUUGCUGCUUAUUCGUUGGCGGGCGGCUUUGCCAUUGGUGCAGCCUGUAGCAGCCGUGCACGUUAGUCUGAGCAUAGCCUCAAAGCAAUGGGUAGGGUAAAGGUCUGUGUAGCUUCGGGCCAAAGAACAAGUCCCAACAUGUUCCACUAUCGCUGCACGUCCCCCCCCCCCGCCCCUUUCCAUAAUAGUGUUGCCCCGCCUCCAAUCUGCUCCUGAUGAAAACUUUGUAGAGCACUUUCGUUCUUCUUCCCGCCUAGAAGCACUUAGGAGUUUUUCCGGCGCUCGUCAUCCUGCAGCUCUGCUGGAGUCAGUGGUUUUGUAACAUGCUGUGCGUUUCUCUAGUGGAGGAGGGUAGUGUCAAGCUGGGGCAUUCCGAAGAGGGAACCCUCAAAAGGAGAACUGUACUUAAAGAGCAUCUCUGAAAGUUGACUUCCUAAUAAAAAGGGCCCAGCAGGGUUGCUUAUAAAACAAACAGGCUUUUUAGAAGGUCUUGUCUCUCCUCUUCAUCAGUCUGUUGUUCGAUUAUUCUGUUCCUGAGAAGAAAGCCUUGCUGCUACUGCAGAGAUUUGCCAGCACGAGUUGCCAAAUCACAGUUUCUGAGGAUCCAGCCAGCCAAACACCUGCAUCCUUGCUCCCCUCCUUUUCCAUUCCUUGAACUGAAAUCACUGGGCUACUGAGCCCCAAGUCGGAAUUCUGGAUUGGGGGGUCCAGAAUUGCUAAGCUGCUGAAUCACUACUUUGAGUGUGCCUUGUGUGGGACAGCUAUUGUACUGCUCUGCUCUCUCUCAGAAAGCUGAGUCAUUAGGACUUCUGAAGAUCCUGCUUGUGGUUUGACUGCCUGAAAUCUCCAAGACUUGCUGAGUGGAAAACUUAGAAUCCCUGAGCAGAACUCCCAGAUAGAAAUCUUUUGAGGCUGAGCCUUUCCCAAAGCGCACCUGCCACGGGCUAACUGCUUGACUGCCUGGGAACCUUAGUGCUCCCCUUAUUCUCUGUGGGCUUAUGUAGAACCACAUACUUGGCUGCUUUGCCUGCACCUGGCUGCCUGUCCUUGCCCUCCACCAUCAGGAUCUCACAUGCAAUUCCAAAUUUUUUUCCUUCUUUGCAUGUGGUAAAGACUCCUUUGGCAUCGCACAUGAGACAGCAGACUAAGGAAAAGUAACUGCAUUUUCUCCCCUCUCUCAAUAUGUACUUUUAUUCCUCUCUUCUUCUCAUCCUCUUUUUGUUCUCAUAACUGUCACUUCCCUGCUCCCCUCACUCUUAGUAUAGUCUCAGAGAAUAGUUUGAAUUCUUCAUGCUAGCUAGGUUGCCAAAUAUUUCUGUUCGCAUUUGCUUCUGUUAUAUUAAUAAACUUUAUU